RNAcentral lists this ribosomal RNA (496 nucleotides) under uncultured bacterium. RNAcentral's name for it is "partial 16S ribosomal RNA". It matches the Rfam family "Bacterial small subunit ribosomal RNA", at positions 28 to 506 of the family's 1533-position model. The record is from RNAcentral.
GAUGAACGCUGGCGGCGUGCCUAAUACAUGCAAGUCGAGCGAACAGACGAGGAGCUUGCUCCUCUGACGUUAGCGGCGGACGGGUGAGUAACACGUGGAUAACCUACCUAUAAGACUGGGAUAACUUCGGGAAACCGGAGCUAAUACCGGAUAAUAUAUUGAACCGCAUGGUUCAAUAGUGAAAGACGGUUUUGCUGUCACUUAUAGAUGGAUCCGCGCCGCAUUAGUUAGUUGGUAAGGUAACGGCUUACCAAGGCAACGAUGCGUAGCCGACCUGAGAGGGGGAUCGGCCACACUGGAACUGAGACACGGUCCAGACUCCUACGGGAGGCAGCAGUAGGGAAUCGUCCGCAAUGGGCGAAAGCCUGACGGAGCAACGCCGCGUGAGUGAUGAAGGUCUUCGGAUCGUAAAACGCUGUUAUGAGGGAAGAACAAAUGUGUAAGUAACUAUGCACGUCUGGACGGUACCUAAUCAGAAAGCCACGGCUAAUUACGU